GCUCUAUUAGUUCAACGGUAGAGAACAUUAGCCUUUUAAACUAAAAGCAUUGGUUUGACUCCGGUAUAGAUUA
Molecule: transfer RNA, 73 nt
Filed under: Phakopsora pachyrhizi
Lineage: Eukaryota; Fungi; Basidiomycota; Pucciniomycetes; Pucciniales; Phakopsoraceae
Description: tRNA-Lys
Rfam family: tRNA
About the family: Transfer RNA (tRNA) molecules are approximately 80 nucleotides in length.
Source: RNAcentral